UGCUAAGUAGGGAGGGAAGAUCAUUUCCUUGCUCCUGCUGGCAGUGUUAUUUGUGAUACAAGCUAGGAUGCACAUUAUUGUCCAGAUUUCUUCAGACAUCUCAAUCAGAUAUCUUCGUUCUAGCUUUUAUGCCUUAGUUUCUUCUGAAAACUGAGGAAAGUGAGUUUCCAUGGAAACUGAGGCAUAGAUUGUGUGCUAGGAGACAGGUUCCCUUUAUGUGAUAUUGGGAUAUGUCCAAGUUGCACCACUAUGACUGGGAACGAGGAGUUCUAGUUUAGGUAACUGUGAACGCAGCUGUUAAGGUGUAUCCAGAUUCUUCGUAUUUUCCUGCCCCUCUCCACAUUACAUCUAGAGUUCGGUCCAUGACUAGAGCUGCUCCAAAUAAUAGAAAUAGUAGCUUCAGGCAUGACAGAAACUUUGCAGGUACGCAGAGAAAACAGGAGCGAUGAUUGCUGCAGCAUUUCUUUUCUAUUCAGUCCGCUUCAUUUAUUCGUUGGAGCCAAUUCCUUUAUAAAAUAAAUGUCCAUGGCUAAUUUGCUAGAGGUUAUGUUGUUGCUGUUGUUCAAACUCUGUUGGGAAUUCUUUGUGUGUGUGUGUGUUACACAAGUGAGUUUUCUUUGUCUAGAUUUAUAGAUACUCAAAUUUCGUUUGAGAAAGGUGUUCUACAGGUGCCUAGCUUCAUUACAGUUCGUAUUAGC
Long non-coding RNA from Numida meleagris (helmeted guineafowl), 698 nucleotides. RefSeq lists it as uncharacterized. The transcript has 3 exons. Lineage: Eukaryota; Metazoa; Chordata; Aves; Galliformes; Numididae. The record is from RefSeq and is a predicted model, not a curated record.